UACGUAGGGGGCAAGCGUUGUCCGGAUUUAUUGGGCGUAAAGAGCGUGUAGGCGGCCAAGCAGGUCCGCUGUGAAAACUCGAGGCUCAACCUCGAGACGCCGGCGGAAACCCUUUGGCUAGAGUCCGGAAGAGGAGAGUGGAAUUCCUGGUGUAGCGGUGAAAUGCGCAGAUAUCGGGAAGAACACCCGUGGCGAAGGCGGCUCUCUGGGACGGUACUGACGCUGAGACGCGAAAGCGUGGGGAGCGAACAGG
RNAcentral lists this ribosomal RNA (253 nucleotides) under uncultured bacterium. Its description in RNAcentral is "partial 16S ribosomal RNA". It matches the Rfam family "Bacterial small subunit ribosomal RNA", at positions 524 to 776 of the family's 1533-position model. The record is from RNAcentral.